Gadus macrocephalus (Pacific cod) is the source of this 1110-nucleotide long non-coding RNA. RefSeq lists it as uncharacterized. Lineage: Eukaryota; Metazoa; Chordata; Actinopteri; Gadiformes; Gadidae. The record is from RefSeq and is a predicted model, not a curated record. The transcript has 3 exons.
UGGUAAGUAGUUUUGCUUUCGUUAACGAAAAUGAUGACUAAAUAUCGUUGUCAACGACCCUUUAUCACGUGAGGAAAACGAGACGAGACGCAACGUAAAUGCUGUUCAUGUGACGAUAACUAUAAUUAAAUACAUAAUGCAGUAUUGUUGACGAAUAAAAAUGAGACUAAAUGUGUUUUACAAAAUAAUACUCUUCAUUUUCGAUGACCAAAACUAGUUGAGUUUUAUUUAUUUUAUUUUUUAUUUCUGGGGCUGUAUCAGGUUACGUUACUUCCUGAAUCCCCUCUCGUCGCGAUUCACAAGACGCAACUGUGGUGGUAGCGUUAAUUAAAACUUAAGGCCCUCUCCACACUAAUCCGGGUAAAUAUAAAAACGUACAACUUGUAACUGAAGAUACAUAGUACAUUGCACAGAUAAAUCAUAAUUUCCAUUUCACCUGCCUUUUUUUUUUUUGAUGAGCGCAAGCUUGUGGCAUUAUUGGUGGUGUGUCAUGGCAACCGAACGCCAUCGUAUCUGAAAGCCUCUACCCUGUCCACACUACAAUGCAAUCGUAGCGUGUUCAUAUUUAUCCACCUCAGCGCUCGUUUUUGAAAAGCAUCGUUAUCAGUGUCGGAAUUCGGCGUUCUAAUGUGGACAGAACAUGUUUGGUUGGUAAAAUAAAUACGUUGUAAAUUCAUAUCAGAGUGUCUUCCUUGUCUGGAAUGGAUUAUGUAUUAUUUCUAAUAAGGUAACAAUAAUAUAAUAAUAAGAUUACCUUGUUUGAAUUGUGAAAUGGGUUUGGCAAAAAUAAAAUGUUGGUUUUGUCAAUACUACUAGGUAGCCUACUUAUACUAUAUUGACUGAGUUAAAUAGAAUUGCAUAACAAAAAAGUUACUAAUACAAUUUGCUUUGACUAAAACUAGCCUAAAAUAGUCAUGGAUAAUUCUGACUAAAAUAAGACUUAAAUGCUCUUUUAGUCGUCUGAAACUUGAGUAGACUGAAAAGAGUAUGAACGUGAAUAAAACUAAUAAAAACUAAAAUGACAGCUUGACACAAACACUAGACUAAAACUAAAAUUAAAACAGGCCGCCAAAAACAACAUUACUGGUAAGUGGGUGACUGGUGAACGGG